AUACGGAGGAUCCGAGCGUUAUCCGGAUUUAUUGGGUUUAAAGGGAGCGUAGGUGGAUUGUUAAGUCAGUUGUGAAAGUUUACGGCUCAACCGUAAAAUUGCAGUUGAAACUGGCAGUCUUGAGUACAGUAGAGGUGGGCGGAAUUCGUGGGGUAGCGGUGAAAUGCUUAGAUAUCACGAAGAACUCCGAUUGCGAAGGCAGCUCACUAGACUGUUACUGACACUGAUGCUCGAAAGUGUGGGUAUCAAACAGGAUUAGAUACCCUGGUAGUCCACACAGUAAACGAUGAAUACUCGCUGUUUGCGAUAUACAGUAAGCGGCCAAGCGAAAGCAUUAAGUAUUCCACCUGGGGAGUACGCCGGCAACGGUGAAACUCAAAUGAAUUGGCGGGG
This 393-nucleotide ribosomal RNA is filed under the name uncultured bacterium. Its description in RNAcentral is "partial 16S ribosomal RNA". It matches the Rfam family "Bacterial small subunit ribosomal RNA", at positions 523 to 918 of the family's 1533-position model. The record is from RNAcentral.